GCAUAAUCACUUGUCUAUUAAUUGUAGACUGGAAUGAAUGGGUUAAUGAAAUUUAAGCUGUCUCUAUUUAACUAAAUAAAAACUAGUCAUUAAGUGAAGAAACUUAAAUAAAAUUGAAAGACAAGAAGACCCUAUAGAGCUUUACUCUAAUUUAAAAUCUAAUUUUAACUACAGUUCGGUUGGGGCGACCAGGGAAAUAUCAUCCCUAAACAUAAUGAAAAAUAAUUCAUAAAAAAUGACCCUUUUAAGAUCAUAAAAUUAAGCUACCUUAGGGAUAACAGGCUAAUUUUCCUACAGAGACCUUAUUAACAGGAAAGA
This 318-nucleotide ribosomal RNA is filed under the name Lumbriculus variegatus. RNAcentral describes it as "partial 16S ribosomal RNA". It matches the Rfam family "Bacterial large subunit ribosomal RNA", at positions 1959 to 2517 of the family's 2925-position model. The record is from RNAcentral. Lineage: Eukaryota; Metazoa; Annelida; Clitellata; Lumbriculida; Lumbriculidae.